AGUGAACGCUGGCGGUAGGCCUAACACAUGCAAGUCGAACGGCAGCACAGGAGAGCUUGCUCUCUGGGUGGCGAGUGGCGGACGGGUGAGGAAUACAUCGGAAUCUACUCUGUCGUGGGGGAUAACGUAGGGAAACUUACGCUAAUACCGCAUACGACCUACGGGAGAAAGCAGGGGAUCUUCGGAACUUGCGCGAUUGCACGAGCCGAUGUCAGAUUAGCUAGUUGGCGGGGUAAAGGCCCACCAAGGCGACGAUCCGUAGCUGGUCUGAGAGGAUGAUCAGCCACACUGGAACUGAGACACGGUCCAGACUCCUACGGGAGGCAGCAGUGGGGAAUAUUGGACAAUGGGCGCAAGCCUGAUCCAGCCAUACCGCGUGGGUGAAGAAGGCCUUCGGGUUGUAAAGCCCUUUUGUUGGGAAAGAAAUCCAGCUGGCUAAUACCCGGUUGGGAUGACGGUACCCAAAGAAUAAGCACCGGCUAACUUCGUGCCAGCAGCCGCCGUAA
This 506-nucleotide ribosomal RNA is filed under the name uncultured bacterium. RNAcentral's name for it is "partial 16S ribosomal RNA". It matches the Rfam family "Bacterial small subunit ribosomal RNA", at positions 29 to 523 of the family's 1533-position model. The record is from RNAcentral.